GUUAGUGGUUUAUUAGGUACUGUAUUGAUUCAGUUUUUCUGAGGCUUCUGGCCUUUUUUGUGGCACACUUUCAUGGGAGCAGUUCUGGGUGACCAGGGAACCCCUGGGUUUGCCACUGUAAUGGUAAAUUUUUUUGUUGUGGGGGGGGGGAGUUCCGGGCAACCAGGAAACCCCCCUGGAUUUGCCACUGAGUGCAAGCACCCAUUGGCUGCCCAUGGGUGUGCUGAGAAAGUCCUGUGGAUGAGGUAUCAACUGGGUGCCAACAUGUCUUCCAGAAUGCGGUACUGGUAGCACUAUGUCUAUGAGCAGCAGUGGCUGAGGACCGACUGCUCAUCUCCACUAUGCUCAACCUGAUAGGUACCCACACAAGAAGAAAUUGGGUGCAGUUAACUGCGGGCUUCUGGCUGGCCAGGAGUGACAUUGAUGCAUGAGCAGUAUGGGCAGUUGCCCCAUUCUGUUGGAACCAGCUUGAUGGAGUACUACUCUCCUCUCUGGGCUGGUGCCCCUGCUUCACACCUUUCUCAGCUUGACGCAAUGGAAACUAAGGCCUUAAAGAUCAUUGGAAUCUCCCACGAUGAAGCUGAUUCUAUGGACCGAUCACUUUGCCAUCGCAGACAGGGCACACGCAGUCCACCAGCAACUUUCAUAUGGUGAACAUUCCAAAAUUCAGAUCACCUCCACUCAUCCAUUCCUCUUUAUCCCUGCCUGUGGAACCAAGUUCCCCAUCCUCUUCAAUCUCGUUUUUCCCUCCAGGUCUUCAAGACAGCUGUUCAUCACCAUCUCAAAUAAUCCCUCAUCCAAAAUCAUGGUAUUUUCUACCUCCAUUAACCCCCCCCCCCACAAUCCCACUACUCUCUCCCCAAGCCCAC
RNAcentral lists this long non-coding RNA (869 nucleotides) under Eptatretus burgeri (inshore hagfish). RNAcentral describes it as "lncRNA (ENSEBUG00000017117.1)". Lineage: Eukaryota; Metazoa; Chordata; Myxini; Myxiniformes; Myxinidae. The record is from RNAcentral.